CCCCCCUUUCCUUUUUUUUUUUUCCUCCUCUCCCCUCCCUCCCGGCUUCCUUUCUUUGUAGCCACCUCAGGGGAAGCAACAGAUCGUCACUCGGUGUUCUCACCGAAAGCACGUAAUCGCCGGUGUAACUCAUGUUGGCUGGGGGGCCUCCCGGCGCGCGCGGAGAGGCUGGGGUGCGCCCCCAUGCAGCAUGCUUGUGCUCAAUUGCAGGGUCCUCGUUCUCGAGUGUGCAGAGGGCGGUGAGAGCUCAACUCUCGUCCCCACCUCCCACCCGCAGCUCCCCGGGUGGGUGAGGGAUGCCCUGGACUGGGGAUAGCCAGGUGGGAGUCCGUCGCUGUGUGGCCUGUGGUCUCGGAGUCUGUUCUCCUGGAGUCUCGCAUUUGCACCCCCUUCUUCGCAGUCCCCCUCCCAUAGACUUGCUCUGGGAAGCGCCUCUGCCUCCGACCCUAGCCGGAACCCCUUCGGGGCCAGAGUUUGAAGCCGUGGAUGUGCCUGCCUGGUGGCUUGUCCGAUUUGCACGGUGACUUGAUUACACUCUCUCAUUCAUGGUCACUUCCGAAGCGCUUUAGUGCCUUCCGUCCCUAAACCGCCAACAGCCAGAACGGCUUCUCCCCGCGGUUUGUCACUGAUCCGCAGGGCCCGGAAGGGCCUUCGUCUUACCCGGGAUCCACCUCUCCCCUCAUCUUCCCUGCCUACCUCUUCAUCCCACCUUCUGUCCUUGGAGAAACUCCCUCCUCCUCGCUGCCUGCCGGGCUUCGGAGUGACUCGGCAGAGACAGAGGCACAGGGGCUGCCCUGCUGCUCACCGGUCCACCCAUCUGCCUGGUCUUCUGGAGCUGAGGACUCGGGAAACCAUGCAAUUGAGGCAAGCCUUGGGCUGCUUUAGAGGCGCUGACAUCCGAGGAGACUUCUCCUGGGAUUGAAGGAGCAAUGUUUGGAGGAAGCGAAAGAAAGGAGAGGACACAGAGCACAGAGCAGCCAGGCAGAGCCAGGAGCUGAGAAGGGCCCAGACCUGAGGCCUCCCAACAACUCUCUUCUUGGAAGGAUCUGGGAUGUUGCUGAAGGAAAAUAAAAAAAUAUGUAAAAAGAUAACCUUUUGUUUUU
RNAcentral lists this long non-coding RNA (1103 nucleotides) under Homo sapiens (human). Its description in RNAcentral is "non-protein coding HOXA11-AS:3". The stretch from base 485 to 671 matches the Rfam family "HOXA11 antisense RNA 1 conserved region 2". The record is from RNAcentral. Lineage: Eukaryota; Metazoa; Chordata; Mammalia; Primates; Hominidae.